Molecule: ribosomal RNA, 497 nt
Filed under: uncultured bacterium
Lineage: Bacteria
Description: partial 16S ribosomal RNA
Rfam family: Bacterial small subunit ribosomal RNA
Source: RNAcentral
GAUGAACGCUGGCGGCGUGCCUAAUACAUGCAAGUCGAGCGAACGGACGAGAAGCUUGCUUCUCUGAUGUUAGCGGCGGACGGGUGAGUAACACGUGGAUAACCUACCUAUAAGACUGGGAUAACUUCGGGAAACCGUAGCUAAUACCGGAUAAUAUUUUGAACCGCAUGGUUCAAAAGUGAAAGACGGUCUUGCCGUCACUUAUAGAUGGAUCCGCGCUGCAUUAGCUAGUUGGUAAGGUAACGGCUUACCAAGGCAGCGAUGCGUAGCCGACCUGAGAGGGUGAUGGGCCACACUGGAACUGGGACACGGGGCAGACUCCUACGGGAGGCGGGAGUAGGGAAUCUUCCGGAAUGGGCGGAAGCCUGACGGAGCAACGCCGCGUGAGUGAUGAAGGUCUUCGGAUCGUAAAACUCUGUUAUUAGGGAAGAGCAUAUGUGUAAGUGACUGGGCAGAUCUUGACGGUGCCGAGUCAGAAAGCCACGGCUAACUACGUG